This 119-nucleotide ribosomal RNA is filed under the name Triticum aestivum (bread wheat). The record is from RNAcentral. Lineage: Eukaryota; Viridiplantae; Streptophyta; Magnoliopsida; Poales; Poaceae.
GGAUGUGAUCAUACCAGCACUAAAGCACCGGAUCCCAUCAGAACUCCGAAGUUAAGCGUGCUUGGGCGAGAGUAGUACUAUGAUGGGUGACCUCUUGGGAAGUCCUCGUGUUGCAUUCC